GACGAACGCUGGCGGCGUGCCUAACACAUGCAAGUCGAACGGAAAGGCCCGGCUCUUGCGGGGUGCUCGAGUGGCGAACGGGUGUGUAACACGUGAGUAACCUGCCCUUGACUUUGGGAUAACUCCAGGAAACUGGGGCUAAUAUCGGAUAGGAGAUCCUGCUGCAUGGUGGGCGAUGGAAAGAUUCGGCGGUUGGGGCUGGUCUCGCAGCUUACGAGCCUGUUUGUGGAGUAGGGGAUUACCAAGGCUUUGACGGGUAGCCGGCCUGAGAGGGGUACCGGCGACAUUAGGCCUGAGAGACGGCCCAGACUGGAACGUGAGGCAGCAGUGGAAAGUAUUGCAGAGUGGGGGGAAGCCAGAUGCAGCAACGCCGCGUGCGUGAUGACGGCCUUCGAGUUGUAAACCACUUUCGCAUGUGACGAAGCGUGAGUGACGGUAAUGGGUAAGGAAGCACCGGCUAACUACGUG
RNAcentral lists this ribosomal RNA (468 nucleotides) under uncultured bacterium. RNAcentral's name for it is "partial 16S ribosomal RNA". It matches the Rfam family "Bacterial small subunit ribosomal RNA", at positions 28 to 507 of the family's 1533-position model. The record is from RNAcentral.